Molecule: ribosomal RNA, 497 nt
Filed under: uncultured bacterium
Lineage: Bacteria
Description: partial 16S ribosomal RNA
Rfam family: Bacterial small subunit ribosomal RNA
Source: RNAcentral
GAUGAACGCUGGCGGCGUGCCUAAUACAUGCAAGUCGAGCGAACGGACGAGAAGCUUGCUUCUCUGAUGUUAGCGGCGGACGGGUGAGUAACACGUGGAUAACCUACCUAUAAGACUGGGAUAACUUCGGGAAACCGGAGCUAAUACCGGAUAAUAUUUUGAACCGCAUGGUUCAAAAGUGAAAGACGGUCUUGCUGUCACUUAUAGCUGGAUCCGCGCUGCAUUAGCUAGUUGGUAAGGUAACGGCUUUCCAAGGCAACGAUGCAUAGCCGACCUGAGAGGGUGAUCGGCCACACUGGAACUGAGACACGGUCCAGACUCCUACGGGAGGCAGCAGUAGGGAAUCUUCCGCAAUGGGCGAAAGCCUGACGGAGCAACGCCGCGUGAGUGAUGAAGGUCUUCGGAUCGUAAAACUCUGUUAUUAGGGAAGAACAUAUGUGUAAGUAACUGUGCACAUCUUGACGGUACCUAAUCAGAAAGCCACGGCUAACUACGUG